RNAcentral lists this ribosomal RNA (142 nucleotides) under Gambierdiscus australes. RNAcentral's name for it is "partial Bacterial large subunit ribosomal RNA". Lineage: Eukaryota; Dinophyceae; Gonyaulacales; Pyrocystaceae. The record is from RNAcentral.
UGUUACAAAUGGGAUGAGCCCAAAGAAAUGGUUAAAGUUGUUCAAUAAUCUUGGUUAAAUCAAAUUAUUUAUUGUGCUGGUCUCUCAGCUCAAAAGUUGGAUUAAUAGCAUCCAUCUUUUCAAAAGUGUGUAGUAACUUAUG